AAGUCGAACGGUAACAGGUCUUCGGAUGCUGACGAGUGGCGAACGGGUGAGUAAUACAUCGGAACGUGCCCGAGAGUGGGGGAUAACGGAGCGAAAGCUUUGCUAAUACCGCAUACGAUCUCAGGAUGAAAGCAGGGGACCGCAAGGCCUUGCGCUCACGGAGCGGCCGAUGGCAGAUUAGGUAGUUGGUGGGAUAAAAGCUUACCAAGCCGACGAUCUGUAGCUGGUCUGAGAGGACGACCAGCCACACUGGGACUGAGACACGGCCCAGACUCCUACGGGAGGCAGCAGUGGGGAAUUUUGGACAAUGGGCGCAAGCCUGAUCCAGCCAUGCCGCGUGCAGGAUGAAGGCCUUCGGGUUGUAAACUGCUUUUGUACGGAACGAAAAGACUCCUUCUAAUAAAGGGGGUCCAUGACGGUACCGUAAGAAUAAGCACCGGCUAACUACGUGCCAGCAGCCGCGGUAAUACGUAGGGUGCAAGCGUUAAUCGGAAUUACUGGGCGUAAAGCGUGCGCAGGCGGUUAUGUAAGACAGAUGUGAAAUCCCCGGGCUCAACCUGGGAACUGCAUUUGUGACUGCAUAGCUAGAGUACGGCAGAGGGGGAUGGAAUUCCGCGUGUAGCAGUGAAAUGCGUAGAUAUGCGGAGGAACACCGAUGGCGAAGGCAAUCCCCUGGGCCUGUACUGACGCUCA
RNAcentral lists this ribosomal RNA (693 nucleotides) under Acidovorax soli. RNAcentral's name for it is "bacterial SSU rRNA". It matches the Rfam family "Bacterial small subunit ribosomal RNA", at positions 59 to 749 of the family's 1533-position model. Lineage: Bacteria; Pseudomonadati; Pseudomonadota; Betaproteobacteria; Burkholderiales; Comamonadaceae. The record is from RNAcentral.